Molecule: long non-coding RNA, 10324 nt
Organism: Anastrepha ludens (Mexican fruit fly)
Lineage: Eukaryota; Metazoa; Arthropoda; Insecta; Diptera; Tephritidae
Exons: 2
Source: RefSeq, a predicted model, not a curated record
UAUUUUAUAACAAUUUCAGAGCUUUAUUUCUCCAAAACUUAAGCUAAAUUUUAAUUUUUUUAAUAUACACUUCGCAAAAAAAAUUUAAUUUUUACACCCGUCAAUUUUUAUUAUUUUACUCUGAUUCUUCACAAUUUUAAUAGUUAUAGAACAAACAAACUAGCAAACAAUUUAAAAAGUGACAUACGAAAAUAUUCAAACGCACAUUUAGAAAAUAGUUAUUCGAAGAAAAGUAGUUUAUAAAAUAUUAUAAAUGUCUAUGUGAAAUACCAGAACCAAACACACCCACGCAUACAUGCAUAGAAAUACACGGGAAGACUAGCGGCAGUAAGAGAUGGCUGAGAGAAUGGGGGAAAAAAUUGAGGACCACGCGUACAACUGACAGCGGUUCAGCAACAAUUCGAGGCGCUGAUUAACACCGCAAAUGCUUACUGUGGCUAUGAGGAUGAAGGGAUAACUAAACCAGACAGGGGCACAAGUGUAUUUAUAAAGUAAUGAACAUGAACAUCAUAUCAAACGCACCAUGAACAACAACAAAUUAAAGGACAUACAACAAUAACUUGAUAUAUGUAAAUGCAAUAGGAAUAAUAAAACAGAAUUGAAGUUAAGUCGCUCAACAUUAGAAAUAUCAACUAAUUGAAAGGCAUGAAAAAUGUCAAAAAAAAUGCAUUUUUUAAGGAAACACUAUCAAACACACAUACAUACACACACAUAUACAUGUAAUCAAUAUAAAAAUAUUCGCAGCAUGAAAGCAACAAAUAAGCAAAACGUAAACAAAAACGAAAAUAUGAGAUUAAAGGCAGCUAUUUUACAUUUUUUCAAUAAAAUACUAAAUGCGUAAUUGAUAGUGAUGUGAAAAAGAAGACGAAAAGAAGUAGAAGAAGAAGCAAUGUCUAUAUUAAAAAAGCAAUUAGGAACCAAUAAAGUAAAUAUUAAUAUUAAAAAUAAAUUAAAAAUUAAAAUUAAAAAUAUAAUAAAGAAAAAUAAAAAUAAAUUAGAAACUACCAGUUGUAAAUAUUUGAAGCAGAACUUUUUAAAAACAAAGCACAGUUCAUCAUCAACCAAAAUUAAUUUCUGAAAUACGGUAGUUAAUAUUAAACUUAAUUUGAAGUGAAAAAAAAUUACGGAAAAAAAUGUAAAUAAGUAAAUUUAAAAACUGAAUUUUUCUUUAUAAUUCAAAAACACAUAAAAUCUCAUAAAAUGGUUAUUUGCAUGAAGACAAAGUGAAAAUUUUUAUUUAAGUUAAAAAUUAUGCCACACCUUUAGUGGUUACACAUUCGUGGCGAGUAGUCCACGCUUACAUGCUGCUUAUCCAUAUCUCGUGGCCUAAAAGUAGACACAAAUUGGGGGCUCAUGACAAGCAAAAAUACGUUUCACUUAAAAAUACCAGAAAUACUUUUGAAUGGCGUUACGAUGAGAAUAUUUUGGAAACGCAUACAAAAUGUAAAUAAUUGGUUGGCAGUAAAAAGAGUCAAGCAGCGAGUAUUUGUUAUAACCAGCAGUUAAAAAAUUUUCAAAAUUAUAUACUUACCACUUAAAUGCAUACAUUGAACUGUGUAUUGCAAUUCAUAUCGUUUUUUUUUUUUGCUAUUUUACUAUUUUUACAAACUGCAUGAGCAACAGGAACUUUAUACUUCACGUAUCUCGAUAAACUCUGUAUUAUCGUCACAAUCAAAUAAUGGCAAAUCAGUGCCAUUUUCGCACUGUUUUGCUCCAGCGCUUUCAUUACCAGCUUUGUGCCCAUGCAAUGAAAUUUUGCACUCAGCCAAAUGGUGUGCGCUACUAUCCACUAGCCACAUGAUUUCCAAUGAACUCUUGUGUGACUACACCAACUGCAUGAACAGCAACUUGCUUGAGUCAUUGCUUCUGUAAGUAUAUUGGCCAGUUUUAGAUGGGUCCCUACUAUGAAGUCUAAUAAUUCAUUUCAAUUAAGUGAACCCCAUAGUUUGGAUACAUUUUCGUAGUAUUCAUGGAACAGCUUUUAUAUUAUUAGAGCAACUUUUUCGCCUCAGAAAAUUUGGAAUUUUUUUAGUAGCAAUUCCAUCUUCAUACUCUUAUUGAGAUCCUCGUCUAUUUUCAUCUCUUCCAGAUUCACUUGACACUACUUUAUCGCCUUGUAGGCACAAGCAAAAUUUUUAAAAUUCAUAUUCAAAUUCAUAUAUGAUUUUACUUAUCUAAGAGCCCAUCUAUUUGACAUAUGGAAAAGGUGUUGUUCUGAAACUCUAAUUUCAAAUUGAAUUGCUAGAUUGAAAAUAUUCAAAAAAAAUAUGUGCAUACCUUAGGGGAAUAAGUAAUUGAAUCUUAUUUAUUCCAAAAAGUUAACUAGCCCCUUAACCUACGAUUUGGAUCGAAGUUGUUAGGUCGGAAUGGUAUACAAGCUCGCGAAGUUUUUUUUAAAUCAUCUCGCUUCAACCUACCCCAUGGCACACGUAAUACAAUAUAAUAUUUAAGUUUGGGCUGAUCGCCGUACGUGGGCUAUGUCCGUCAUCGUGGGUGACCUUUUCAGAGGGUUUUUGGUUUUUGAUGAGAUAUGACUUCUUAAGCACUGCUAGUUCCUUUGCGGAAGGUACUCGUACGAGUAUGCCCCAUUAAAAUAUACUGCAGACUCACCGUGAGUGCUAAGUCGUUUUCCUCUUUUUUCUUUCAUGAAUACCUCGGCAACGCUCUUAUAUGAGAACAAAAAUUAUUUUCGAAAUCAAAAAUUGGAAUUAAUUUUUCUGGAUAUUGGAUAUUGGGAAGAGGAUAUUGAGGAUAUUGUAGAUUUUGAAAAUUGUUUAUUGUGUGUACUUAUUCUUCACAUUGCAUGGAGUUUGAAUGUAUUCCUAUUUGAAUAGGUUGACUUUGAAAGGAUGAAAGGCGCCAAUGACUAGCAUUUUGCGCAUUUGCUGCAAGAGUGUCAGAAUAAAAAAUACCAAAAUACUAAAAAACAAGAAAUCGAUGCCAGUUUGCAUUUUACGAACUCUGUGUAAGUAAAAAUGUAUUGUAGUAAAGACAAUUUCCAUCUAUUGCUUUAAAUCAUUAAGUAAGUAAAAACAUAGGGUCACAAUCGCGAACAAAAACUAUUUUAUGUGGGGUGCCAGUACUGGUAAAAUUCAUCUAUUAGUCCAUGAGCCAUUGAUCGAUUUUGGACUGCGUUUUUAUACCGUUAAAUUCCUUACCAUACUAUGGGUUUAGCUUUCAUGAAUAACGUAAAUGAACGUCAGCUGGCACACGCGCAGUGGGUGUGAUUGUGGGAGGGUAUGAAACGUGCCGAAAAAAAAUUUCUAUCAACUCAUUUUAUACCGGCUGAAUAAACGACGCUACGUCCCCAUAUAAAAAGUUGACAAAAAUAGGCAAAGACUGGAUUUUGCUAAAAGUGUGCCCUCAUUACUUACUCAAUAGUUGAACCAUAGAGCCUCAAUCACUAAUUAUUUGGCAAACAGCCAUAUUGAUGAGGCCGUUCGGGUGUAAAGAAGAUGAAGGGAAGAUAUCGUGAUGAGUUCUAUUUGGCGAGAACCAUGUGCUUGCUCAUAUACACAAAGAGAAUGCGACACGACGCAAGUGCGUUGUCGAUUUGAGCACGGCAAAUAUAUAGUGCGGGAGCCAGGGGUCAUUUCGACCUCAUCAUUUCUUGCCAACUGAUUUUUUUGCUGAAGGCAGACGCCAUCCAAUGGAUGACGAAACCAACCGUCACUUGGUCCAGUAGCGGUGGGUACGUGCGUGGGAUGCUGCAAAACGUGUCGAAAAAAAUAUUUAACAACUCAUUUAAUACCGGCUGAAAUUUUAUUUGUGUAUUGUUGUCAUUUAGUAGAAUAAAAAAAAAGUCAGCUGCGCCGUAGAGGGGGUAAAAUACGUCACGAUAUCUUCCCUUCAUCUUCUUUACACCCGAUCGGCCACCCAAUAUGCCUGUUUGCCAAAUAAUUAGUGAUUGAGGCUCUAUGGUUCAACCAUUGAGUAAGUAAUGAGGACACAAUUUUAGCAAAAUCCAGUCAUUUCCUAUAUUUGUCAACUUUUUAUAUGGGGGCGUAGCGUCGUUUAUUCUUGCUUCUAACUCUGCAGAUAUACGAGAAGAGUCAUCGUUGAUUCUGUAACUCGAUACGAAGAUUUGUAUAUUCUCCAAUUGUCAUAUUACUUACUUUCCAAAAAAAAUACGCGCAACAUAUUUGAGUGAAGAUGGGGUGCCAGUACCAAUGGCAUACAAAAUUAUUAUUCCCUCACUUAAACUCUCGAAAUCAAAUUUCAUUACAGCAUGAAGCAAGAGCUGGCGGUUUUUUCUGCAUACUUGUCCGAAAAAAUUUUAUAUAUUUUUUAUUUUAGAUUAUGACACUCUUGCAGCAACGGCGUGAUAUGCAGCAGUCCCUCUUAUGGUAGGCGAUCUUUUGCUACACAAUUUUCACAAAACGAUUUUUAUAAUUUUUCCACAAUUGUCGCUUCUAUAUAACCAUUAACUAUCAUCUCCAUUUAUAAAUAAAAAAUAAAAAGGCAAAUAUGGUAUUAUAGGAAAAUAAAUAAGCUACUUGUCUGUAUGUAUGUAAAUUAGUUAGUAGGCAGCGUUUGCGCUGCAAAAGAAAAGAAUCCUUGUAAAAAUACAAACGAUACUCACAAAAUAGCUAUGAUAUUAGUAUUAAUAUGAAAGAAAACAUAUACAAGCAAACAAGUAUACUAUGUAUGUGUAGUGUACAUAUAUGAAAAUUACAAAUUUUUAAAAUCUAAGUCAUACACGCAUACAUUCACACGUAUGUAUUUGCAUUUGAAGCCACACAUUCGGGUGCAAUCGAAAAUUGUUAAGCAACAGCCCAAAUGUUGUAAUUAGAGAAGAGGAAGAAGAAAAAAAUGAAUUAACAAAUAUUAUUAUUAUUAAUAUAAAUAACGUAAAAUAACAACUUUUUUCAAAUGUGAGCGCAAAUAGCGCUUUCAACUCGCUUUCAAUGUCAGCAUUUGCCGUCUAACCUCUUAUAAUACUAAAUGUGAUAGUAGUGAAGUCUAUUUUUGCAAAAACACAAAACAGCAACAACAACAACAACAAGUAAUAAUAACACAAUAAAAUGCAAAUAGAUUUUCUUACUCAAUUGAUAAUAAAAACAAAAAAUGCAACACUAAUUUUUAUAAAUGGCGAUAUAAUAAUAAAAAGGGGGAUUAUACUAAAAGUGGAUGAAUAGAAUUGGAUGAAAUUGAGAAUGAUUAGGAAAUGGUAUGAAAUACAUAGGCUUGUAAAAUUUUUAAGCUUAAUAGAAAUGAAACAAAAAAACAGCAAAAAAACAAACUAAAUAUUAAAAGAAAUAUUCAACUAAAUAUGAUUUGCUAUUUGACCAAAGCAUUUUUUACACAUAAACGGUGGUUAAGUUUCAAGGGCCGAUGUUGAUUUUGAAUAAAAUACCAUUUUUUUUUUUAGGAAAUUGUUGUCAUUUCUCCUUAUUAUGAUAAUAUUGGUAUGGCUCAAUUACGUAUGGAACAAAAUAUCGGCCAAAUAGUCGCCGCGGUCUCGGCGGCACACCUCCAUCCGAUGGUCCAAAUUUUCGAUGACGCUGAGGCAUAAUUGAGGUUCUAUGCCGUUAAUGUGCCGAAUUAUCUCAUCCUUUAGCUCUUCAAUUGUUGCUGGCUUAUCGACGUACACCUUUUCUUUCAAAUAACCCCAAAGAAAGAAGUCCAACGGUGUCGUUGACGUUUAGGUGUGGUUCACAUUCAACAUCGGCCCUUGAAAUUUAACCACCCUUUACAUGCAUGCAUAUAUGUAUAUGUACAUACAUCUCGUAUGAGAUUACUCACCUACGUUUAUCGGGGUACAGGAUAUGCUAUAGUACUUAUGUAUAUAUUCUCUGCCUCAACACGCGAGGCUUUUUUCUUAGCUAGAAAGCUUAGAGCAAAGCAUACGAGCAGAAAAAUUAAACUCGUGAGCUGGAAAGUUACACUCGCGAGCAGAAAAAUUAUACUCGUGAGCAGAAAAAUUAAACUCGCAAGCGUUAAAUUUUGUGCGCGAACUGAAAAAUUAAACUCGCGAACGCAAGCAUUAAACUCGCGAGUUAAAAAAUUAAAUCCGCGACCUAAAAAAUUUCGCUCGCGAACUGAAAAACUUAGCCCGUGAGUUACGAAAUUUUACUCGCGAGUAAAAAAAUAAAACUUGCAAACGGAAAAAAUUAUUUCGGUAGGAGCUAUAAACUAAAGGAGAAGAUAGUAAAGGUUUGCACACAAAAAAAUAAUAUUUUUUCUCGCCAGCUCGCAACUGAAGAGCACCUAAUUUUUCAGCUGACGAGCAAGCAUUUUCAUAUGCUGAUUUGAGUUUUUUUAAUCUCAUUUGAAUAACAAAAAUUUCGUAACAAAUUUGUUUUCAGAUUUUUUUACUCGCCAGCUCGUUACAAAAACGCACGCAAUUUUUCAGCUCACGAGCGAGUAUUUUCGUAUGCUAAUUUGUAUAUAAAAAAUGCAGUUGAAAACAAAUAAUUAAUGACUUUUACGUAGAAAUCAAUGUUAGGUGCAUAUUCAAAUUUAUCGAUGUCUAACACAAAAAUACAUAUAGAAAUACAGCAAAGGCUCAAUAAAAGUAGAUAUGGAAUAAUUUUUGAGAAUACACAAGUGAUAAAAGUCUAUGAAAUUAACCAGACACUGAAGGUGCGAAGGAGAAAGAUAAAGCGAGAAAUGAAAAGUGAAACUUGAGGGGCAUUACUUUAAGCUUGAAAUCAAUGCAUGGGAGGUGUGGUCAUGAAAUAACGAGACUGAUGCUGCUAAACUUUUAUUUUUGAUUUCAUGAUUAUUUACCUUUACUCAACUUCAAUACACAUUACUGGUCUAAGCCGACAAAGCUCCUAGAGAAUUUUUCAUUUUUCGAAACAUUGCUGGAAGUUUUCCUCUUCAGCACGGAUACCGCUUUUUCUGUCUCUGCUUGGACGAACUCAAAUCUUGUGCCUUUUAAAGCGGAUUCUACCUUAGGAAGCAAUUGAAAGUUGUACGCCGCAAGAUACGAUGUACAUAUCGUCCCCUUAGUAUUAAAAUAGCCUAUACAUUUUUUGAUGUUUUGAGAAAAUGAAUUUCAAACUUUUUGUCGAAAGUAGCUCUCACUCAAAUCUCGUUAUGUCUGUAAAUAUUUAUUAUUUUUUGACUGACGUUUUGACCCACUUUGUGGAACUAGAAUUUGACAAAAUUUUGACCACUUAUAAAAUCGACGAUGGAGAAUCCAAAAAUUCAAUAAAAAAAUAAUAGCCUAUGAGCACAUAGGCUAUUGUUAUACUAAGGGGACGAUAUACUCGUCAGGUGGAUGAUCUAACACUUCAAGGCUGUACUUGGCAAAGAAACGUCUAAGCAGAAUGAUCCGCUAAAUGGUGCGUCAUGCUUGUACUUCUCAUGCGUAGAACCGCAGCUCUAUUCUAGCUUGCUAAUCUACUUUUUUUUUAAUAUUUUCUAUUCGCCUAUUACAAUCAAUAUUUGCGACUAGCCUCCUAAUCUAGUGCUUGCUUUUUUAAGGUGUGAGGACAGCAUUAAGUUCUCUCCAAUAACAGUCUCUCCUUUACAUAAUUUUUUUAUUUCACGAUCAGAACACAUCUACCAAGUUUUUUAUAAAAGUUUCAAGACCACCUGCUCACUGAUUUAUUAGAGAAAAGAAAAAAAAUGUGUAAAAAUCAGCUUAACCAUAAAAUAUUUAUGAUUCUCCAUCGCUUGAGUAGAUUACUAAGUUGACAAAGCUAGUUGCUCGUAAACUAAGUAUUUGUGAUAGUUGUGAAACAAUCGAUAAAAUUAUUUGUAUAGAUUUCAUACACACACACACGAGUUCAUAGCAGCAUUUAAUUAAAAAUUAAUUAAGUGAAAAAUUUCCAUUUCCUUGAUCUGAUUUCAUAAGUGUCGUUAACUGAUAAGGAGGCUUCACUGAUAACCAGACACCCGAUUGAUUAUCAGAUCUGAAUGUAAUUAUUUCGUAGGAAAGAAAAGUAGUAUAACCAAUUACAGAGAAAGCACAACUCAACGAUAGAUGAUAAGGAGCAGAUAAUUGAAUAGCCAUAAAAAUAUAUAUUGAAUAUUGAUAAUAGAAAUGUAUUAAAACUAAGAAAUUCAUAAUACAUAUUUUAAUAGGUUUUAAACAAUUUGAUAUGAAGCAAAUAGAGAUUUCUAAAAUGUAGAUAAAAUUAUAAAUGAUAAACUGAGGUGAAAGGAGUGUGCUGAAAAAUCCGGAAGGAGAAACACUGAUAUCAUUCAACAACAAAAAACUAUGUAGUACUCGGAACAGUCUGUGCAGCAGAAAAGGAAAGUCGAUAACUGAUUGUUAAGGUUUAUAUACAGCCAUCUCUUUCGCACAUUUUCAUUGGAUGAGCGAUUCCAUGUCAAUUGAUCAUAGUAUUUGGCUCAAAGGCAAAUAAUUUUUUUUUUUUCAAAUGUGUUUUUAAUUUUACAAUAAAAUAUACUUAAAAACAAAUUUGUUUUUUAAAAAUUUUAAAUUUUUUGUUAAAUUUUUUUUUUUUUUUUAAUCAGAUUUUUCAUAUUUGUUUUGUUUUAUUUUUCAUUUUACCUCGAGAGUUUCGUAGUGCGAUUGCCAUAACUUUUCGAGUUAUAUUCAAAACCUAGCGAUUCGAUGGAGCAGAAUUUUUGGUUUCUGGUUCGUCGUACGUAUUUGAAUUUAAGUAGAAAAGUUAUUGAAAUAGUUUCCUAUUAUGAAACUUUCAGGGAGUACUGAGCAUAGUCUUAGCUAAAAAAAAAAGUUAGAAACAAAUCUGAGGGUGGGUCUGUUUCCAAAAUUAAAACAAAAAAAUGUUCGCAAACAAGUAAAUAUUUUUCCCAAAAAAAUAUUUAAUUUAUAUUUCAUUCUAAAAAUUAUAUAUAUGUAUAAAUCCAAAAAAUAUAUCUAUAUUAAAAUGAAUACGUUUCACUUAUGACAAAAAAAUGUUUCCCAAAAUUUAUGAACAAAAAAAAAUUUUUUAUAAAAUUGUUUUUUUUUUUUUUAAUUAUAUUAAGAAAGAUAUUUUUCUUUAAAAAACCUCGACACACAAAUUUUCAAAAUUUCUAACCUUUUCUAUUAUAUUUUAUCCUGAAAAUAAAAAUAUCAAAAGUAGGAGAAGAUUUUGACUUUAAAAACUCCGUACAAAAAUUUCGAAAUUACAAAAAUAAAAAAUUAAAAGAAUUUUCAGAAAAAUUGGGGAACAUGCCCAAAAUACUUAAAUGUGGUAAUGGUAACAUGAAAAUAAAUUUCUUUUACUUUUCAAUUCACCGUCGUUUCUAAUUUGCUGGGCAGGCUGUACCAAAAUAUGCAAUAAAAGACAGGAGUAGGUAAUAAAAUAGGGAGCAAAAAAGUGAAAUGGAUGCGUAAAUCAAUAGGAGUAAGAAGUCUGAAGGCCAGCAAACUAUGUUUACAGUGGGCAUUAACAAAUUUAUUUGUAUUUGUAGGUACGUAAAAAAUGAAAGUAAAGAAGCAAUAACAUGGAAAAAAAUACUUGGUUUUAGGUAAACUAAAUUUUUGAAAUGAUUAUGAAAAACCACAAAAUAUGAAUUCGUCAAACGAAAAACAAAAGUGUAAAAUAAAAUGCAUGAAUUUUGAUGCUAACUUUUUUGCGUAUUCUAUGUUCAUACCAUCAACCAUAAGCAUUUUUUCAAGACCUUUUUUCUUAUUUUAUUCACAAUAAGAUUUUCUGCAGAGAAUCGGUGUCUACAAAUCAAGUUUAACAGCUGUAAUUUUUAAAAGGAAAAUAAUAGAAAAAAAAAAUUAUAUGAAAGUAAGAAAAAACGAAAGAGACAGAAAACCUCCCCGCCAGCAUAUAUUCAAAUGGUGUGAUAAAACUUUACGACAUUAAAUAAAACUAAAUUAGAUUUAAAACAAAAAAUAGGUUUAACCAAAUAUUUAACUUAAAUGUACUAAAAAAUAAUUAAGAGCAAAAAGGAAAACAAAACAAAAGACAAAAAGAACAGAAUGCAAAUGUAUUACACACAAAUAAAAUAAGGAAGCAUUUGUCCAAAAAAAACAAAAAAAAAUAUUAACAAUUACUUUACAGUGAAAAAGGGCUUAAAAAACAUAAAAAGUUCAAAAUAAAAAAAAGACAAAUUAAGAAAAAAAAAUCAAUUAAAAAAUAUUAAAAAUUCAAAAUGAAAACCAAAUAAAAAAAUAAAAUUUCAAAAUAAAAAAAAUUAAAACAAAAAAGUCCAAUUGAAAUAUAUAAAAAAUUCAAAAAAAUGUCCGACUCACAAAAUGGCACUAGCGAAGGCGCAUUGAACAGGUAGUGGAUGGUAGAACAGCUGAUGUGAUUUUUUUCUAUUUAUUUGGUUCACAAUAUGAAAAACAAAUAAAUAAUAAAAAAUAAAAUAAAUAAAUAAUAAAAAAUAAAAUAAAUGAAUAAUAAGAAAUAUAUAACUACAAAAAAUAAAUAAAUUACAA